Zeugodacus cucurbitae (melon fly) is the source of this 16420-nucleotide long non-coding RNA. RefSeq lists it as uncharacterized. Lineage: Eukaryota; Metazoa; Arthropoda; Insecta; Diptera; Tephritidae. The transcript is spliced from 2 exons. The record is from RefSeq and is a predicted model, not a curated record.
GUGAACCCACGUCACUGAGUCUGAGCGUCAUGAAGACAACGCAACACAACGCAACAAACGAGUUUGGAUCGCCGUUCAAAAAAAAAAAAAAACGAAAAAAACGGCACUUUGUGUGUUGGUGUGCGCCUGCAAUUUAACUCAGCUUGCGAGUAUUGCAUAAUGACACAUUAAGCGCCAUUCAAGGUACUCCAGUUGUUACGCAAUGCAAAAGUGGGGAAAAAAAUUAAAAGUAAUGAAUAUCGAAAAAACUGUACGUCCUUCGAGGCGAUUGGCGACGGCAGAUAAAACAUAUUUACACACACGCAACAGCUGAGUUGAGUUGAGUUGAGUUGUGUAAUGCGAAAGGAAAGGAAAGGCGAAGGUGUCUGCACUCGGCUCUUGAUGUUGCUGUUGCUGCUGCUGAGUGUUUGUGAGCGUGUGUGGUCGUUGGCUGUCGAUGUUGCAAUGAGCAAAUGACUGUCGAAAGAAGGAAGGUACGAAAAGAGGUCAUGCCACAACAAGGCAACGCUGCGAAGUGACACGUUGGCCGGAGGUGCAGAGGAGGAGAAGGAGUAGCAGAGCAGUCAACAAGUUUGCCAGGCAAUUGGUUUCCCCUUCCUUUUAAGGUUUUUGCAUUUUUUACUUGCCACGGUUUUUUUUCUCUUUUUUGUUGCAUGAGUGUGUCUUCACCGCAGCUGCCGCUUUUUUACCGAUGACUUGUUGCUGUGGCAGGCAGGCUUGCCGGCUGCCUUUUACUUUGUGUGCGAACAUGCUCGUCGUUUACGGCUUGUUGAUGUCGCAACCUUGUGGCAGCUUAUUGCUUGUAAUUGCAGCUGUUGCACUUCAAAGUCAUCUGCCAAAAUUGUACUCGUACUUGUGGCGCGUUGCGUUGCGUGCCGAGAGGAUGGCUCAAGAUUUUUAACACUUUUUUUUCGCUUGUUUUUUCGCUUUACCUGUUACACGCUAAUAACGCCACAAAGGCAAAGUGCAAAAUGCAAGAAGCGCAGAAAAAAUCACAAAAAAAGAAAACAUGUGAAAAUGGUGCCCUCCUGAGCUAACAGUACAUGCUAGCUACAUAUAUGUAUAUGUUAAGCUGCCGGGCAACACUGAACCUCUAGAUACUUAUACUCGCAUAUGCACAUUCUAACAACAAUGUUUCCCAUAAAAAAGCAACAAAGUAAAAUUAUUUAAAUGAAAAUGUCGGCGCUUAUCGUUGGCGUUGCAUCUUCGGAGGCGUGACCGAGCGACAACGCAACGCAAGCAACUAAUUAACAACAACGGGCCAAAAGCAGCAAAAAACGCUAACGGCAUAAUUUCAGGCACUCCGCAAACACGCUACGAUGUGUGUCGCUGCAGAAUCGGCAACAUGCAAGCCGUUAUGUAAUUAUUGCGUACAUUAAAUGAAAUUAAUUGGAAAAUGAUGCCGAAAGGAGUUGGGGGGAAAGUGACUGAAAGUCCAAUAGAUCGCUUUAAAACACUUUAAGAGAUAUGCUGGCACAGAGAUAUUCCUACGGGAUACUCAAAAAAUCCAAAAGUGCUCAAUAGAGCCACUUCGAUUUGAAAGGUCAGAUUCGCCGCACGCAAUUAAGCCUUAAUUGCAGCAGUUUAGCCAUUCACCUUGGCGUGAAGUGGCCGCGACACACACGCAUGUGCGAAGUGAACAUUUCUCGGCUUGUACGUUGCAUGUUUCUGAGUCCCAGCUCCUAGUGUUUACUUUGCCGUUGUGCUAAUUAUAAAAUUACACAUGCCGCUCAUUGCUGUUGUUGUACAAUUUUCACUAGCUAAUCUGUUUAACAAGUUUGCAUUCAUUAACAAUCAUAAUUGAUGUUGUUGGCUCACAUACAUUUUUUAAUUGUUGUUGUUGUUGUUGCAAUUUCUCAACAAGGUGAACAACAUGCACGCAAAAUAACAAAUUGACACGCCUCAUGACCUUACAUACAUACAUACUUAAGCACAUAUGAAUAUAUGAAUGUAGAGCACUUAUGUCGCCUUGCUAUUUAUAUACAUACACAUAUGCUGCUACUUAUAUUUAGGUGAUACAGGGUCUCAAUGCAUUUUUAUUAAUUUGCAUAUCCAUUCACCACGAGAGAGAGGUUGAAUUGAACUACAACUGCACAACAUUAGCUCUGGAUGGUGCAAUAACUGUAUAUAGUAUUCAAGUACAGUAAACUCUUUCGUACUCAGGGUUAAAUGAACCGAAUUGUGUGUUGAUUAGUAGUUGUAAAUUUACGCAAUUUUGAGUCUUUUGAACCCGAAGACUUCAUGUUCGCACAUUUUAAUUAUUUUUAUCUGAAAACUUUCACUUUCUUUUAAAUUGAAACCGCAAAAACCGCGAGAUAUAUCGAUGAAAGAGCGCUUUAAAAUGGUAAUAGAGCCACAUAAAAUGCAUACAACACUUGAGUGGGUAUCAGUUUACUCUCAUUUGCUCGAUCAGAAGUAGUGGAUCAAAUUACUAACUGGAGUUAAUUGCGAAUACAUAUGUAUGUAUAUAAAUGCCGUUUUAAAAACAUUUUGAGGCUGAUUGGACGGUCGCCUCAGUGAAGUCGAGAGUUCACACCCUAAGCACUAACAACAAAAUCACAGGAGAAGAAUCGAUAUUAUGUUGGUUAUGUGAUAGUUAUAAAUAACUGUAACACAACAGUAAAUACAACGCGCUGCAAUAUUGUUUGGCCUCAAGAUAACCGUAAAAAGUAAACGCAAGAGCAACUGAACUAGUUGCAACAUAACGUAAAUACCACAACAACAAAAAUUUACAACAACAACAAUUAACAACGUCAAACAAGCUGUUAAGUGUUGUGAUUGUGAUUACAACGGACGUAACGGUCAUUGUCGCCAUCGCCGUCGCCGUCGUUGACAUCGCACGCGCCAAUCGCCAUGACAAUCACGCGCUUGCCGCCGGCGGGCACACAAACUGGUGCACUUAUUUUGAACAGUUGUUGCUGCUACACGCCGGCUUUUCAGGCUCCUCAUGUACGCGUUUUAUAAUAAUUACGCCACAUUUGUUGGGAAAGUCCGGCUUCGGCACCGGUGAGGUCUCAAGGCAGUAUCUGCGAAUGUGCGACAAUUUGUGGCAAAUUAUUUUGAAUAAUCAACAGAGCCGAUACAAGCAGGUACAUUGAGGCGAAUGGCCUACGAAGUGGUAACUUCGAUUGGAAAACACUUUUUAUGCUUGAUACUCAAGCUUUCGUCCUACUUUAAUCGCUUAUCGCUUAGUCUGAGUAACAGAACUUAAAGUUCGAACUAAUUCUCUUGGUCUAAUCAAGAAUGUUGGAACUUGGAAUUCAGCAAAGAAAUUAGUAAACUUAUUUGCUUAAACAAAUGCGUCGACGUCCAGACGAGAAAUAGGUGAAUGUACAGCAUGAGUACAAGUACAAUGUGUGUUGUAAAUUAAAUGAAAACAACACGCUGCCACACAAUAACAACAACACACAUAAAUAAAGAAGUAUUAUAAACACGAACACAUACACGCGCACACGCAGCGCCUGCUGAGCGCCACAACGAACGGAAACAAAAUGUUGCAGUGCUCGCCACACACAAUGUGCAGCAUACUUUCAAGCUGUUUAUUGGAACUUACAGAGGGUGUGUGUGUGAGUGGGUAUUUUUCCACCCCCAACAAUACCCACUUGGCUUGGCUGUGUGUGUGUGCGGAGCGUACGGAGGACCGUUCAAUUUGUACACGUGUUCGUGCAACAAAUGUUGCUGCAGCACAGCAGACACUCGACUCAAUUACUCGUGCGCUGCCAGGCAAACAUCAGGUCGCCGUGGCUGUUGCUUCCACGCUGCUAAAGUGGCCGAAGGUAGACCGUCCGUCGGUUGGUCGCUCGGUCGUUUGCUUGUUAGACGAUCCUAAUGCGUUUAAAAACAACAGCAUAAAUAUUGUUGGCCGCCAGUCGCACAACAACAACAAUAGCAACAAUGCUGGCAACUAAAGUGGUCUAGCUGGAGCGCUGCUGCUGUUGCUGCGCGCCACACAGUAAUGUGGCAUGAAAUAGGAAAAGUGUGUAACGACACCGUCCGACAUUCAACGCUAAGUGCCAAGCACAACAUAAGCUCGACUGAAGCCAGCACAUAUGUUGCCUUUCGCCACACGGGGCGUAUACGCAACACAAUGUGUGUGGUGGAGUCAAGGAGAGAGUGCUGGUGUUGCUUUGAGAGCACGAAACAAAUGGAGAUAACAUAACGGUUUUAGCGCAAUACAACACAUAUACGGAGCAUUAUGUUGUUAGUCGUCGAGUCAGUCGAAGUUACAACAAAUAACAACAAUGAGAGCCGACAUGGCAAGCGAGCACAACAACUCUUGCACGUGUAAGUACUUAUUUAUGCUCGCUUACAAUUACAAUUGCAGACAACGGCAGCGACGAGGCAAAGGCAAAUUAGAGUGCGGCGCUACCUGCGGAUGUGCGCUGCUGCAGCAAUGACAACUUGAAUAAUUGUUGCAGAUGCUGUUGCAAUUGUUGUUAGUUUUAUUUGUUGCGCAUCCUUUCGAAGUGGCUGUGGCAGCUAGUGUUGCAAAGUCGAAGCAGAAAAGGGUCGUCUUUUAUAUAUCAAAUGAGCUCCUCAAUGGAUGCGAUUGUUGACUUUUUGAAUGGUAACUGUUAAAUUAGUGAUAAAAAAGUUAUUUUGUAGGCCUCGAAAUGAGUUGAAGAAACAUUGAAAUUAAGAAGGCGUUAAACCUUUUAAACCUAGAGAUUACUCGUUUCAUUAGUAGAGCUAUUCAUUCAGCUUUUAUACUGGAUCAAGUCCAGUGAGGCAAUCUAAUAUUUGCCGAAGACUGAACUUAUUUUUUCUUCAACUGCAAUACGGUAUAUUCAACAAUCUCUUUGUUUGUUGGGGCUUGUUUUCCCUCAAACCAGUCGAUGCAGAGUUGAUCGGUUUAACAAACUGCCAGAGUUGCUCAAUGAUUUAUUUACCCUUUCGCGUAAUCGAUUACGUCGUCGCCACACGCUUAGCUAAUGCUGUUUGCUUUUACUCUCGCUUUUCAAUUAGCAAAUGCACAGACACACACUCACACAAGUGUACAUAUCGACGCCUGGCUGUGUGAAAUGCAAUGCCGAGCUGAUUUGAUGUUGUUGCUGUCAUUAUGUCACUAGCAACAACUAUAACAACAACAACAAGCGAUAAACAACAACCAAAUGUGUUGCAUAAAUAAUAUAACGGGGUGUGCCGCAUAUCAAGUGUGUUCGCAAUUGCGACGUAAGCAGCACCGUUAUACAAGUGCCUCUUUGCGCACAAAUCUACCGUUAUAACUGCACUACGCGGCUGCAUUACAUGUGCUCUGCUUGUCGCCCGAAUGCCGAACUGCGUGUAUCAAUCACUGGCCAAGCAAAGUCCAGCCACUUCAUGACACUUCAUGCUGGCACUGGCCACUCUCACCCUCCCUCUGUGUUUUAUUAUAUAUGUAUGUGUGCGCUGGCCGCUGGUUUCUAGGUUAGUGAGCCGUCGUGUUAACGAACUGCUUGGCCCAAAUUUUCCUUUCUUACCAAACGCCGCUGUUCGCUUGUUUUCUUUGUCAAUUCGCUAUUCACGCGCUCGCGGCUUCGGCUUUUGGGUUAUUGCAUGUUUUCAUAAUUGAUUUAACUUUUCUUUUCAAUAGAGGCCAACAACAAGCAAAUAGCGGUAAUAACAAACAAAUAAAACUAUCAAAAUGUUGUACAACAACAACAGCAUAGCGCCGCACAGCUUCAUUUGUCGACAAGCGUGACACGCAGAUAAAUUGAGCUUCUGAGCCAAACUCUUGCAUCGCAAGCAGCGCGCAGCUCACCGACAGCUAUAGCGACAGCGGCAUCAGCGGUUUGUUAUGUAAUUGUUUGUUGCUUGUGUGCUACUUUUAACUGCUGAUUGCUUGACUCUUGUCUUUUGUGCUUCACAAUCUUUGUUUUGUUAACCAUUUUUGGUUGGCUUUAUACCAAGAUAACCGUCCACAUACCCGUGCACACUUCAUUUAUUUGCUCGCUUCGUCGCGCCAGCAGAACCGGUCUGUUGUUGUUCAACGUCAAGCGGGUCUCAAGUCUCGGUUCUCGUUUCAUAAGCUGGCGACUGGUAGCGCAUAGCACGCCAUUGUUGUUGUUGUCUGGCUGGCUUUUGAUGUGCAAAUAUUUCUGUGAUGUCUCGCUGAAUCGCUAGUUUUUCUUAAGAAUAUCAGCAAAUUUAUAGUCUCUUGUGGUUGUUGUGAUUUUGUAUGUACAUAUGUUCCGCAUUUGUGAUUUUGCUUUUGUUUUUGUUUUUGUUUUUGUUUAUAGCUCUUUUUUAUAGCAUUUUUGUGGUAAACAACCGACAUUCUUUCGUGUAGCGAAGCGCCUAAAUCACCACUCGCUAUAAGCGGAAAUCGCGAAGGUUUUUUUUGUUUUGUUUUGCAUAUUUUUGCACGCUUCAAAGAUGAUAGAUCAAUUAUCAUGAUCGCCGCUGUUAUAUUUAUAACUGUCAAGCUUAGAGUUGAUUAAGUCAACAACAAAACAAGUACUUGAUGCUUUCAUAGAACUGAUCUCAAACAAUAAAUAAAUAAUAUUUCUUUUUUAUAUUGUCAGAAUGCCAUUUUUAUACAUUUUAUACUUUUUUCAGAGUUGAUCAUGUUUUUUGUCUCUAUCAAUGACACUAAUUAUUACUGGAAUCUACAAUCUUGCAAUUGCAAGUGUUUAACCAUUGACAUUUUGUGCUGUAAACUCGCUUCGCAAGCCGUUCACUUUUGAACUCAUUCUCCAAUAACACAACUUGAUGAAGCUGUGCAGCUAAGUUGACAAAUGACAACUGACAGCGGAAUUGUUGAUAUGAAAAUGUAAAUAAAUUUGGUUGGAGUUGAUUAAGAAGUGCUGAUAUUCGUAGAGCAUGGCGAGCCUCUUGAAAUCGCAUAUUGUAGCAAUAUUAAAAAUUAAAAUUAUUUAGAGUGUGAUUUUUGGUAUAAUUCAAAUCCAUUAAUAUUCAAAAAAUCGUCACAGCUCCGCUUAACACACUGUACAGUAUUUAAUAGAACAAGACUUAAGUUGAGUUAGUCCAGUUAAACUGGUAGACUGUUACUAAGCUGAAGCUGACUUGAAACUUCGAAAUUCCACAAAUUGAGUAUGCAGAAACAUCCAGAACAGUAUUCGAAGUCUUCAAGAAAGCAAAUGAAUUUAGAGAACUACACAUAUUAUUGGACAAUAAGUAUACGAGUGCCUAUGAAUGCCGAAGUUAUGUUUGGAACAAAAAUGGAAAAAAUUAAAUUCUCGAAAACAAUAAGAAAAAUGAAAGUUGGAGAGCUGACUCCGUUAUUAUUUCAGCUACAAACGCAAACACGUGUCGUAUGCGUAACACAUUGUCAAUGCUGACGCAAUCAAUGGAUUUAUUGCUGCUGCCGCUAUCUGUCGCAAGCGAUAAUUGAUCAUUUAACUGCCAGCAGGCAGCUGCGCACGCUCACUCAUUGUUUGUCAUUAUUUCAAAGUUCACGUGCUCCCAAUGAUACCGUUAAGCAGUCGUCAAUUGGAAUUGUUUGUCGUGUUGCGCUUUCCGCACACUCAACUGCUGCGCUGCGCCUGCGAGUGACAACUAGUUGCACUGCCAGCAGCAUAAUUGCAUUAGCACAAUGGCUGAAUAUUUAAUGCAAACACUGUGUGAACUUAUAAAACAACAAAAACACAUAAAGUGAGCAGAAAAAAGGCGAAGCUUAAAUGCAAUUUACCAAAGUUUUGCAUUAAUUUUGCAUUGACGCUUGGCAUUGGCGGAGUGUUUGCAGCUAAUUUAAUAUUUUAGCAGUUAAUUAGCAUAAUUAAUGCGCUCAAUUGCAUCGGCCGAGCGCAGAGCGCAGCACGCAGCAUGCAUAACUGCGAGGCAAAAUAGUCGAAUGCAAAUAAGUUGAGUUGGAUAUUUAGCAAAUGAAUUAUUAAAUAAAAUAUUGACAAAAAAGGCUUACAUUGCAACAGCAACAACAAAACAACAACAAAAACCAUGUUGAAUAUAUGAAAUGCGUUUACAUAAUCAUAAAUUGGCAGCAACGCCUGUCACAUUGUUGUUGUAAAUGCUUAGCAUUUGGUUAGUUAGUUGGAGUGAAAAAAGUAACUGUCAAUUACUGCGAAAUUGCGCCGCCGAGUGUUUGCUUAUUCAUUGAGCCAUGCAGCGCUGUGUGAAAAGUCGAUUAAUUUAUGCUUUCACUUCAUUCGUUGCACGCGGCAAAACGAAAAACGAAGUAAAAUGCUUUGGAAAUAUUUGAAAAAUUUAAAUACAUUUGGCACAUAUAUUCGGGAAAACACAACAAAAACAAUGCAAUGCAAUUGGCGCGCGCACAAAAAGCCAAUUUGUUUGGUGCUAAUUAAGUUUUUAACUGAAAAGCAAUUACGAUUUAAUCAUUUAAACCAACAACGCACUCAACGCAGACACUCGGCAAUAAAAGCAUUUGAGCAUUUUGAAUUUUGAAUUUUGCAGCAGAAUUUUUAAAAAUUUUAUGCGCACUUGAAUUCUUCAUUCGUGUGUCUGCGAGUGGUGUUUCAUUGCCUUUUUAAAGAGUGCGCUCCACACGAAAGCCGGAAAUAGUCAAACAGCAAAAGCAUUUGAAUACAUCUUUCGCAACCUCAUCAGUUGAACAAUUAAAGUAACAAGCAAGGCUUGGCAUACUCCAACGCCCACUUGCAACACGACAACAACAAGAAACAACUGGAUGGCGCGUUGUUGGCGACGGUAUGCCAGUCAUGCUGCAAAUUUAGGUGUGACAACGCGCCGUUGCUUAUGUGCACUCAGCAGCGACAAGCGUCGUUGUUGCUCGUGAUAAAUUACAACAAUAAACAACAAUCAUUGGCGGCAGCAUGUGGCAACUUAUGGCAUUUUAUGCGCGCAAAAUGUCACAGAAAAAAUUCUACAAAUAAUAGUGUGCCUGUGUGUGUGUGUGUCUGUAGACAUGAAAGCCUGCAUCGCAUUGUUUCUAAAUUCCAGAUUAAAAUCCUAAAAAUUAGUUAUGACUCCGCUAAGUGAAAGAACACAGAGUGCAGUGUGAAUUAUGUGCUGAGACUAAAUAGCGAACACCGAUGUCUACACAUACAUAUAUGUUUCCGCAAAUAAGGCAUUGCUUAAAGACCGCGAGUGUGUGCUUGAGCAAUAAAGCGACGCCUCUGCAUAACUGCAUUCCUGCUGACACUCACAAAGCAAAUAAAUAUAAAAAUCUACGUUGCUUGUGCUCGUUCAUGUCUUUAAGCUUCUGCGCUUACAAAGCAUCGAGCUGUCUUAAACGACUGCCACCGUCUACUUGGUCUGCUGCUGCGGAGAUCUCUGCAGUGGCACAUAAAUUGUCGGGCCACUCAUGGCACACCAGGGUAUACACAAAUAUAUGUAUGCUUAAAUCUUUUUAAAUAAAUGUAAAUGGAGAAUAAUACCAGCGAUUGCACGUAUGCAUCUGUCAUUUGUGGCCGCACACACAGCACUGCGCUUGACAUACAGGUGUCUACACACGUUGCUAUCCAAAUGGCCUCAACAGAGUUGGCUGCAUUUUUCGCUUCUGUUAGUUCGCUUCGUCUUAAUCAGCUCUCGUUUUGCGCUCAUCCGCCUUAACACUUUAAUGCAAAACUACCAUUUGCUCAUUUCAUAAGACGUUUGCCUAGACAGAUAAGAAAAUAUGCACGGUCGUCUAGCCGUUGAACAACAUGCCACAUAGGGACUGUGGAGGUUGUGAAAUACACAAUUUGUUGUUACCGUUGCACCUUGCCUUGUCUUAAUGGUUUUUAAAUAUUUGAGCUUUGGAGAGAAGCUACGUAUAUAUAUAUAUAUAGUAUAUAUAUAUAUAUAUAUAUAGAGAGAGAGAGAGAGAUAGGUUAGUUAGUUAGCAAAGAAGGCAAAAGCCAAAUGAAAAUAGAAUGGACCGAUUGUGUGUGAAUCUCCUUCUACCAUGCCAAUUUGCUUAUAUUAUGCAUAUUUCUGUUGGUAUUUGCUUUGUUUAAUCAAGCAUGGCAAUGCCCUUUGAAGAGGCUGCACUGAAGCUAAGGCGUUGACUUGAAAAAAUUCGAAAUUAAAGUGAGUAAAAUACUAGAAUAUUUAUUUGUUUCACUUGUAACCCAGUUUCUUCCGAGUUUAAGGAGUUGGAGCGCAUUAAAUAUUUAAGUCAAGGUAUUUAGUUCAGAGUAGUUUUAUAUUCGUAUUUAUUAUAUGAAAAUAGCUGCAUGAACUCCAUUACAGUUGUGUGUAAAGCAUAUUGUAGUGAAAAGUAAUGCUAAACAGGUAUCUUCUCGUUGUUAUGCUCACAAUCGCAUAAACUUUUCAAUUUUCAAUUUCAUAUCGCAUAACCCAAGCGAAAAAUUCACACUUCAGUAGCGGCAUUCAAUGCAAUAUUUUUCAAAUUUAACGCAUCAGCGCCAACAGCCAACAACAACAGCAACAAGAAUACGUAGCAACCUCAAGACAAUGAAUGACAACAAGUAAACACGGAACUAUGAGCACCCGGUAGCAAAUGCUUAAUCAAUAAGUUAUACAUUUUCGGACUGUUUAAUAUUAAAUUCAGAAACUUUGUGAUGGUCAUCUUUAAUCUCUUACUGUGGAUACCAAACUAAAUAAAAUGAAUAUUCGAAACAGAAUAGAAUAUUGUUUUAUAAUUAUUAGAGGUCCUACAGGGCAUACAUAAAUGCCAUGGGUGUAUAUAUAUAUUUAGUCUAUCAAACCUUUCGGUCGUGUGGCUUGAGCGUUUGCUAUUGGAAAGCGUUGAAAGGCUUUUGUCACACCUCGAUUAGCAGCAACUGAGUAGUGAGACCGUAGACUGUGUGUCUUAAAGUCCACCUUUGUAACAAACUAUUCUCCUCUUAUGUGCUCUACUGUAUUUAUAUGAAAUCGAUUCUGUUUGCUUGGAUAUCGAUAACUUGUAUCAUCCACACGUGAAAUUUCCUUUACUUUGCUCUUCAAUUUCCUGCAUUCUCAGCUCUGUUUUCUAACAUCCGUGGAAGGAAAAACUCAACUCACAGCUAUAAUUUAAAAGGCAUUGAGGAAUAUUGAGGCAAAAACAAAGCAAACUAGGUGACUACAGCAGAUUGGGUUGGUUUGCGCAGCAGCUGAGCUAAAAGCGUCUGAAUGAUAGAAAUAUUUUCACACUUCUGAUUUCUAAUUACAGUUCACUUGAGAUAAAGAAAAACUACUCAAAGCCAGAAAUAUGCAUGAAGAAGCUACAAAGCCCCCAACUAAGAGUUACGUUUGCACUGCAAAUGCCAGUGCAAUGUUUAUGGCAUUGUUGUUGGUGUUGUUUUUGCAACAUGUCAUUAUUGUGAAAUGCGGGUUGUGGUAACAUUGCCACAUUGCUUUAAUUUUCCGCUAAAUUUCGCUUUUAUUUUCACACAAGCAAUUUCUGUUUUGGAACAGCUGCAACAGCCUCGCUUUGCCACACCGUUUUCCUUGGGCUGCCUGCUUUUUCAUUUCAUUUGUUGUUGCUGCAUUGCUCAGCUUAUUUUGCAUAACAAUUUUGCGGUUUGGCCAAUAAAUAAAAUCAGCGAAACACAUUAAGAAACAACGAAAGAAAGCGAAGCAGACAGCACAGAGAAGCACAAAAGCACUGCGCAGCGGCAGCGAAAGCAAAUAGGAGCAUGUUGCAAAGUACGCGGAAAUUGAUUUUGUUUCACGCCAACUUGUGCAACAACGCCGCUGCCGCGCCACCAACGGGCUCUAUACGGAAAAGCCAGCGAAAAGUGUAUGCAGCUCGCAACCAAUACACUUGUUGUUGUUGCUCCCGCCGUUAUUAACACUGUGGAGCGCGCGCGUCGAUCCACGAAUGUCUCGGCUCAAUACCCUCGAUGCAUAAUAGAUAUCGGGGCGCAAUGCAGUGAUGCAUGCAACUGUAGACUUGCUGGCAUUGAGAAAUGCCAAUAUGCGAUACAAACACACUCACGAACACCCAGGCAGACAGACGAUUGGCAGUGUGGCGGUGUGCAAUUACACGAGCAGACAGCAGACGGAAGUGAAUAUUGCCGUCAAUUUAAGGUACUCGAAUUGCAGCUGGAGACGAGCAGCGGCACGUCAAGUCAUAAAGUAGCGCCACACCGAACAGUGGGCGGCACCAACGUGCAUGUUGCGGCUUCACACGUAACGGUGCAUAUGCAAUUUGGCCAAGUGUCCGCCCACUCAGCCAGCCGGUAGUCGGCGUAAAAUGUGCAUUAGUUCAAAUUACUUAAUUAGCCUAGGAAGCAUCUGAAGACAAGGCAAUGGCUAAGGGAGAUUGAAAGACUUGCGAUUUAUUUUCAUAUUCAUAUUUGAACUGACCUGCCACAAAGUGCACCGUUAUGAUAUUCAGUCAAAAAAUUUUCACGACGAACCGAAAAAUGAUUUAGAAAUACUCAAGUAACGGUUUGCAAUUGCUUUGCAGUGGUAAUCUCACAAAUCUAAAGAACUAUUCACAGUUGUAAUGAGCCAAUAAAUCGCAAGACAUUUUCCAAUUAUUUACGAGUUACUAUUCAACGGUGAACCAGUUACCUGCUUGAGUAAUCGUGCGAGUUAUAAGAUUCAGAAGCGCUCAAACUGGUUUCUUCACUACCACUUCAGUUAUUUCCACUUGUUCGCGAAUUAUUACAAAAGGCACCAAGAGAUCGCUGCUUAACCACACAGUCGAUUUGCUACAUUUAGCGGGCUUGAGAAUGUCGCCAAAGAACCGGAUAUGUGCUUGUGGUACAUAUCAUUUGUAAUUAAUGAGCUUGCAAGUCUUGUAUCGGUAUUUACGAGGCUACAUAUGUAAAUGAGCGAAGAAGCUUCGCAGAAAAAUACAAAACUAAUUCUUUGAAGCCAUUAAUUACUGUAUGGCUCGAAGCCGGUGGUUGAAUGCGUGCCAGUUUUAUGACUCAGUCGAACCUGAUUUGGGUCUACAGGUCAGCAAGUCAGCUUUGCGGCCGACAAGAUGCCUUUCGAUUUCUGGAAGAAUCGCAAAGAACCGGUCUCAGCUAGAGCAAAUCAAUGCUGACGUUCUCGAGUUUAAUUAUGCUGUGAUCGCAUAACCGUAGCACGUGGUGACGUUUGUACCUGUACUACUAGCACUGAAAAAGAACAAGCUGACACUCAAGCGAAUAUGCAAAAUAAUUCUGCAUUCGUGCUCGUGUUCGUGCGUGAGAAAUAAUCAAAAAAUCUGCAUGCCAAAUAAGUGCUCUUGUUUCAGACAGUUUGCUAUGGUCUUCAGCAUUCAGAAGAAUAUACAUUAUUGAAUCAGUUAAUUUCCACUGAAAGGCCGCUUCAGAAUCGCAAAAAUUCCAUCCACCGCAUUUUUCGAUUAAAAACCUCACACCAAUUAAGCGCUUUUGUUCCAAGAGAUCUUCGCAGCAACAUUCUUGCGCAGUCUAUUAAACACUUGGCGUUGUUGUUGUUGCUAUGGCUCACAGUUACCAGUCACCGUUAGCCGUUAGCUGUCAAUCGGUUGCAGUCCAACAAGCUUUGCCUCAAUGCCAACUGGUUUUGUUGCAGUUGUUGUUGUUGUUGAUCGAAUGUGCAUUAGCAAGUACUUACUCACUCGCUUAAGUGCUUACAGACACUCUAGCCUCUAGCCUCCACAAGUGGGAAAUUAUAAGUGUAAACCAAACUUCUCGCAUACCGAUAUUAGUCGGUUGUUAUUGUUGUUGUGACUGACAUUACAUUUACUGUUGUUCUGAGUACUUUAGAGUCAGCUUUGACCACUUCGCUUUAAUGGCGUCUUUUGUCGCUUAAGCGAGUAAUUAAAAAACACGCCAGCAAUUCCUCAGCAAACGAAAAUAGAAACAAUACAAGAUUAUAUGCAUGACAAAGGCGAUUUUGCAAAGACCUGUUCCCCCUAACUCGUUAAGCCCCUUGCUAUCGCUUCAAGUAAAAAAAAAAAACAUAUUUUUGUUGAAAAUGAAUUUUUGUACCGUUAAAUACUAUUUGUCACAACAUUUCUUGGUUGGCAAAAGUGUUUCGGGGCUCACACGAAAAUUAUCCCGUACCUAAUCCAACGAAUGUGAAAGUGAAAGUCAAAUGCGGUCAAAACAAAGUAAUUAACAAAUGUUGUUGUAUAACAUUUCGCGGCGGCUAAUUACCAAAGGAAGCUCAAGCGAUUUUUACACGGCCAAUUUCAUAUGCCAAAUCAUUGUACACACAUAUGUACGAGUAUAUACUCGAGAGUUACAUAUUUUCGAUUUUCGUUACAAAUAUUGGGUCAGCUUUUGUUCAUUGUGGCAUAAAUGCCAGUCACUCGGCCUGUACUUGCCACACUUUUCCUUUCACCAGUCGCGCUUUGAUUAUCUGUCAGCCUUUUCUUCACCCUUUUUGCGCAUGGCAUUCGCCUGCGCCAGCGGCGACGCACACUUGACCUUUGUUUUCGCACCCAUCGGCCAGCUGCGGGCGCGGUGAGCGGCGAGCGGCGCCGGCGGCACUUAUUGAGUAAUCGCGGCGCAUUGUGUCGGCCCGCGGCUUGAUCUGCUUCGAUUCACAAGUGCGCUUGUGCGCUAAUCAAAUGUCAAAAUGCUGAGCAAUUAUAAUCGAAGUGCUCACAUUUCAUUUCAUGACGUUGACGAUUACCCAAUCGCGCCGGAGCUAUUGAAAGGCCACGUUGGACACCUGCAUUGCUGGCGGCAUUCAAGUGAUCAAGUGAUCGGCGGGCAGUGCGUCACAACAGGGCCGCCUGCUGAACCAGUUCAAGCUGUGCUUAUAGUCACAGCUUUAGCUGUCACAUUUUGGCGGCAAAGGUUCAACGCCUCAAAAGCUGAUUAACUAUGGUUACGCUUCUCCUGAUAUUUCACGCAGAGUUUUGGAAAAAAUGCCACUCUCGGAGUCUGCGACGCCCAUUCGCGCCAAGCCGGAUGAAGUCUAGGCGUGGCAACCAGCACUAGUUGUACUAGCAACAACAACUCAAGUUUGCUAUAAAUUGUAUAAUAUUUAUAAUAAAUAAACAGGUUGGGCCGCGUUUAACGGAUUUACAUGCGCAGAGGCGUGCAGCGAAAGAUUUGAAUUUAAUUUAAUUGCAUUGCUGUGUCAAGAUAUCGUAAAGUUAAAAGCGAGGCGAAUGGUGACUGUUUCUAGCAAUUGCAUUAAUUUACUUUUGUUUUCUUUAGUCUACAGUAGCUUACUUGUGAGCUGAGUUAUGUUGUGUUAUAUGUAUGUAUGUCUCAUGUCUUAUUGCUACAUAUUUGUAUUUCUUCUUUUUACUUUUUCGUAAACUGAAUUGCAGUAAACCUGCUUGCUCUCCACUUCGCCACUUCGACUUCGAGCAUAACUCUUUCGCUUUAUUCCAUUUUGCAAAUGCAAGCGAUUUACACAAUUAUGUAAAAUUGAAUUGCGAUAAACAGCUUUGAGCGAAAUUGCUAGAAAAGUGCACAGGAAAAAGCGCAUGCGCACUGCAGCACUCACAUGCAUAAUCAAACAUUUAAAUUCAAUAUUUGCAUAUUAUAAACGCAUUAUGCAAAUGGCGAAAGGCUACGAGAAAUGGAAAAUCGCUGAAAAGUUGUGAAAAUUGAGUUUUGCACUUUAAAUGCGAACGUAACCAAAGAAACUUGAUUCCUACUACUUCAUAUGUGUGAGUGUAUUCCUUGCAAGAUUAGGGUUGGGUUCAAGAUUGAAGUUUCAAAGAUUUAAUUUUUAAUCUACGAUAAUCUCAAGCUCUAUUACUUAGUCACCGAAAUGAUUUCGAUAAAAUUAUGAGAAGAUAAUCAUUUUAAUACAGGCCUUUCAGACAAUUAGGAUUUUUUUAUUUAGUUAAGGGCUGAUAUUAUGUAAUUUUUCUUUUUGUAAGCACGUUCACAAAAUUAAUGGAUCCUAAAUGGACAUAAGUCGAACACGGCAAACAAAUUUAAACAAAAAUUUAACUUCUUAAGUUGUUGUUAUUAAUUUUAAAAAUUUUACGCUUAAGGCCUUUUAAAUAAGUAUCCUAGUCUAAUACGAAAUGUUAUGCAAAAAUUAACACAAAAUAAAUACAAGGCUUUCAUGCAAUGCAAAUAUGAUGUUAAAUAGAAAUUCGAAAAUUUUCGAAAUCACUUAUUCGAAUAAAAAUUGUUUUUCGAAAACCGAGAUCUUCAAUAUUUUCCUGAAAACACAUUUCAAAUUGAUUCAAAACUUUCACAAAACAAAACUCAAAGUUCACAGCUCUUGCGCCGUUUAUCACAAUCGCCAUUAUCCUUGCGUGGCAAUAAAUACACUAACACGAGCAAAUACGAACAUUCUAUAUUUGUAUCUCAGCAAAUGUUCCGCUUUUCCUUCAAGCUUUUUACUAAUUUGAAUAUUUUGAAACUUUUUUUUAUAAUUUUUUCAUUUCACUUUAUGCUAUAAAAAAAGAUGUAGUUGUUUUUGUACAUACCGGCUCCAAAAAGUGCAACGAAUACGAACAAAAACUUAUUCAUUUUUGUAGUUUUGAUUUUUCAACAAAUUUCACGCGCUAAAAGUGACUGCGUAGGCGUUUAUGUGCGCUUAAAUUGUCGUAGGUAUAUUCCGUUGGGUUAGAAAAUUGAAUUUCCUUUUCGCUUUUUCUCAAAUUGCUGCGUUUGCUUUUCCGUUGAUAUGCACAACGUCUGACAGGGAACCACUG